UACGAAGGGGGCUAGCGUUGUUCGGAAUUACUGGGCGUAAAGCGCGCGCAGGCGGUCCUUCAAGCCAGAGGUGAAAGCCCAGAGCUCAACUCUGGAACGGCCUUUGAGACUAGAGGACUAGGGUAUGGGAGAGGUGAGUGGAAUUCCGAGUGUAGAGGUGAAAUUCGUAGAUAUUCGGAAGAACACCAGUGGCGAAGGCGGCUCACUGGCCCAUUACCGACGCUCAGGCGCGACAGCGUGGGGAGCAAACAGG
Molecule: ribosomal RNA, 253 nt
Filed under: uncultured bacterium
Lineage: Bacteria
Description: partial 16S ribosomal RNA
Rfam family: Bacterial small subunit ribosomal RNA
Source: RNAcentral